Molecule: small nucleolar RNA, 94 nt
Filed under: Dichanthelium oligosanthes
Lineage: Eukaryota; Viridiplantae; Streptophyta; Magnoliopsida; Poales; Poaceae
Description: Small nucleolar RNA Z247
Rfam family: Small nucleolar RNA Z247
About the family: Z247 is a member of the C/D class of snoRNA which contain the C (UGAUGA) and D (CUGA) box motifs. Most of the members of the box C/D family function in directing site-specific 2'-O-methylation of substrate RNAs.
Source: Rfam by way of RNAcentral
AUAAUUUGUGAUGAUGAGAUGGUGUCUCAUAUUCUCAAUGGUUUGAACUACGACUACAAUCCUUUUGUGUCAGCUACUCUUAGUCGAUCAGAUC